GUAAGAAAUUUCUAGGUCCCCAUAAACUGAUAAAAACUCAAAGAAUGGGUAGAUUUACGUUUUAUUGUUGCGUGCAUUAUAAAGAAGAUCCCAUCUAACGAAUUUUAUAAAAUGGUUCUGAAUUCUGUUAAAUUGGGUGUGUUGUGUAAACUAUGAAUAACUCUUCCGAGACUGAAGAAAAAUGGAAUUUUUUAGCUGUCUGCAACUCUUUGGUGUCAUAUUCAUAUUUUUUUUAUUUCUUCUUUGAAUAUUUUUUUCAAGAACUGUUUAUCACUCAUAUUGAAUUAAAGAAUAAUGGUGAAUACCAUUUCGGCUGCAGCCUCAAAUUUUAAAUACGGGAGAUGUCUGGAUUGGCGGAAGAAACGGUACUGAAGUAAUUUCGACAACUUAGGACCAUUAUGGAUGCAUUUUUUCUUGGAUAAAAGUGUGCCGUCACCAUCAGUAAUACGGCUUUCUCGGUUCCGUAUACAAGCCAUCAAUACUCGCCAAUUUUCUAAAGAUAAUU
Long non-coding RNA from Argiope bruennichi, 505 nucleotides. RefSeq lists it as uncharacterized. The transcript has 3 exons. Lineage: Eukaryota; Metazoa; Arthropoda; Arachnida; Araneae; Araneidae. The record is from RefSeq and is a predicted model, not a curated record.